Molecule: ribosomal RNA, 2743 nt
Filed under: Klebsiella pneumoniae
Lineage: Bacteria; Pseudomonadati; Pseudomonadota; Gammaproteobacteria; Enterobacterales; Enterobacteriaceae
Description: partial 23S ribosomal RNA
Rfam family: Bacterial large subunit ribosomal RNA
Source: RNAcentral
GGGUUGUGAGGUUAAGCGACUAAGCGUACACGGUGGAUGCCCUGGCAGUCAGAGGCGAUGAAGGACGUGCUAAUCUGCGAAAAGCGUCGGUAAGGUGAUAUGAACCGUUAUAACCGGCGAUGUCCGAAUGGGGAAACCCAGUGCAAUUCGUUGCACUAUCGUUAACUGAAUACAUAGGUUAACGAGGCGAACCGGGGGAACUGAAACAUCUAAGUACCCCGAGGAAAAGAAAUCAACCGAGAUUCCCCCAGUAGCGGCGAGCGAACGGGGAGCAGCCCAGAGUCUGAAUCAGCUUGUGUGUUAGUGGAACGGUCUGGAAAGUCCGACGGUACAGGGUGAUAGUCCCGUACACCAAAAUGCACAGGUUGUGAACUCGAAGAGUAGGGCGGGACACGUGGUAUCCUGUCUGAAUAUGGGGGGACCAUCCUCCAAGGCUAAAUACUCCUGACUGACCGAUAGUGAACCAGUACCGUGAGGGAAAGGCGAAAAGAACCCCGGCGAGGGGAGUGAAAAAGAACCUGAAACCGUGUACGUACAAGCAGUGGGAGCACCUUCGGGUGUGACUGCGUACCUUUUGUAUAAUGGGUCAGCGACUUAUAUUCUGUAGCAAGGUUAACCGUAUAGGGGAGCCGCAGGGAAACCGAGUCUUAACUGGGCGUUAAGUUGCAGGGUAUAGACCCGAAACCCGGUGAUCUAGCCAUGGGCAGGUUGAAGGUUGGGUAACACUAACUGGAGGACCGAACCGACUAAUGUUGAAAAAUUAGCGGAUGACUUGUGGCUGGGGGUGAAAGGCCAAUCAAACCGGGAGAUAGCUGGUUCUCCCCGAAAGCUAUUUAGGUAGCGCCUCGUGAACUCAUCUUCGGGGGUAGAGCACUGUUUCGGCUAGGGGGUCAUCCCGACUUACCAACCCGAUGCAAACUACGAAUACCGAAGAAUGUUAUCACGGGAGACACACGGCGGGUGCUAACGUCCGUCGUGAAGAGGGAAACAACCCAGACCGCCAGCUAAGGUCCCAAAGUCAUGGUUAAGUGGGAAACGAUGUGGGAAGGCACAGACAGCCAGGAUGUUGGCUUAGAAGCAGCCAUCAUUUAAAGAAAGCGUAAUAGCUCACUGGUCGAGUCGGCCUGCGCGGAAGAUGUAACGGGGCUAAACCAUGCACCGAAGCUGCGGCAGCGACACUAUGUGUUGUUGGGUAGGGGAGCGUUCUGUAAGCCUGCGAAGGUGUGCUGUGAGGCAUGCUGGAGGUAUCAGAAGUGCGAAUGCUGACAUAAGUAACGAUAAAGCGGGUGAAAAGCCCGCUCGCCGGAAGACCAAGGGUUCCUGUCCAACGUUAAUCGGGGCAGGGUGAGUCGACCCCUAAGGCGAGGCCGAAAGGCGUAGUCGAUGGGAAACAGGUUAAUAUUCCUGUACUUGGUGUUACUGCGAAGGGGGGACGGAGAAGGCUAUGUUAGCCGGGCGACGGUUGUCCCGGUUUAAGCAUGUAGGCUGAUUGUCCAGGCAAAUCCGGAUAAUCAAGGCUGAGGUGUGAUGACGAGGCACUACGGUGCUGAAGUAACAAAUGCCCUGCUUCCAGGAAAAGCCUCUAAGCAUCAGGUAACAUCAAAUCGUACCCCAAACCGACAUGGAGCUGAGACCAGUCGAAGAUACCAGCUGGCUGCAACUGUUUAUUAAAAACACAGCACUGUGCAAACACGAAAGUGGACGUAUACGGUGUGACGCCUGCCCGGUGCCGGAAGGUUAAUUGAUGGGGUUAUCCGUAAGGAGAAGCUCUUGAUCGAAGCCCCGGUAAACGGCGGCCGUAACUAUAACGGUCCUAAGGUAGCGAAAUUCCUUGUCGGGUAAGUUCCGACCUGCACGAAUGGCGUAAUGAUGGCCAGGCUGUCUCCACCCGAGACUCAGUGAAAUUGAACUCGCUGUGAAGAUGCAGUGUACCCGCGGCAAGACGGAAAGACCCCGUGAACCUUUACUAUAGCUUGACACUGAACAUUGAGCCUUGAUGUGUAGGAUAGGUGGGAGGCUUUGAAGCGUGGACGCCAGUCUGCGUGGAGCCAACCUUGAAAUACCACCCUUUAAUGUUUGAUGUUCUAACGUUGGCCCCUGACCGGGGUUGCGGACAGUGUCUGGUGGGUAGUUUGACUGGGGCGGUCUCCUCCCAAAGCGUAACGGAGGAGCACGAAGGUUAGCUAAUCCUGGUCGGACAUCAGGAGGUUAGUGCAAUGGCAUAAGCUAGCUUGACUGCGAGCGUGACGGCGCGAGCAGGUGCGAAAGCAGGUCAUAGUGAUCCGGUGGUUCUGAAUGGAAGGGCCAUCGCUCAACGGAUAAAAGGUACUCCGGGGAUAACAGGCUGAUACCGCCCAAGAGUUCAUAUCGACGGCGGUGUUUGGCACCUCGAUGUCGGCUCAUCACAUCCUGGGGCUGAAGUAGGUCCCAAGGGUAUGGCUGUUCGCCAUUUAAAGUGGUACGCGAGCUGGGUUUAGAACGUCGUGAGACAGUUCGGUCCCUAUCUGCCGUGGGCGCUGGAGAAUUGAGGGGGGCUGCUCCUAGUACGAGAGGACCGGAGUGGACGCAUCACUGGUGUUCGGGUUGUCAUGCCAAUGGCACUGCCCGGUAGCUAAAUGCGGAAGAGAUAAGUGCUGAAAGCAUCUAAGCACGAAACUUGCCCCGAGAUGAGUUCUCCCUGAGAAUUUAAGUCUCCUGAAGGAACGUUGAAGACGACGACGUUGAUAGGCCGGGUGUGUAAGCG